This is a long non-coding RNA of Gavia stellata (red-throated loon), 1324 nucleotides long. RefSeq lists it as uncharacterized. The transcript has 4 exons. NCBI's taxonomy places the organism in Eukaryota, Metazoa, Chordata, Aves, Gaviiformes, Gaviidae. The record is from RefSeq and is a predicted model, not a curated record.
CGGCCCAACGGGGAGAUCAUUUUUCCUCCCGGCCAGCCACGGGCUGAUUUCCCGGUGGGGCCGUUGGCCCAGCGCGGCUGAGGUGCCUCAGGGCUGCCGGUCGCCGGCGCUUCAGAGAAGUGGGUGAAGUCACGGCCUGGUGCUUUGGGUUAAGAAAAACAAGAAAACCCAGUAGUAAGGCAGUACUAAAUGAUGGCAAACCAGAGUUACUUACUCCAAACUGAAGGACUGAUUGCUUUCACACACGAAGUGUCCACUUUUUUCCAGAAGGAGGAAAAAAAUGCUUCUGCUAGCACCGAGGAUGGAAGGAAUAAGGAAAGUACAAGCUUGGGAAAAGGCUUCACACAUUUACUAAUAUGACAGCUGUUUGUGACACACCGUAGACAUGCAAGGUCCUACUGGAAGGAACCUGUCUUUGUAAGUGCCUACAGACAUCCAGGAUGCAGUCUAUGAAACUAAACAAAGGUGGAAAGGUCUGCUUUUGACUAGUAGUGGUGUGGGCAAAUGUGGCAUGAGAAAAUAAUUGUAGCUCUGUAACCAGAAGUUCUCUGUCUCCCAAGACUUACCCCCAAGUAACCAACGCUGCACAAGGAUGUUCCACAAGCAUUUGAAAUUCUGAGCAUUACUGCCACUAAUUUUAUGUGUUAGCAGACCAGAGCAAGUCUUUUCCCUCCGGCUGGUUUUGCUUCAGGCUUGUAGAUACUGCUUAUAUACAGCAGUAUAUGAAGAUGAUCAGUUGGUUUUGAAAGUAUACCUCUUGCUCGUAACAACUGUGGAGCAACUUAGACCAGGAUUCAAACUGACAGUGGGACGAAGACACCACCGAGAACAGAAGGAGCUUGGAGGGGAUUUCAGCUUCGGUAAUUCAGUUGGUACCUAAAGACCGAUGUGAUAAACCUCAGCUUAACUGUUCUAGUAAGAGUACAGAGACACAAGAAUAACUAAGAAAUACACGUAGGAAGUUGCAAAAUUCUCAAGAAGCGUUUGCACAUCUGCAUCUUUCCCGUUACAACUGAGGGGAGAAGAAUCCCAUGCUUGAUGUCGUCUGUGCAUUCAAUGCUUAGGCUCUCAUUGGAAUGAUUAAGAUGAUGCUAACUUAUAUUGGGGGGGUGUUCACCUGUUUUUGACAGCUAACAAGUUACUAAAACUAGCAAAUGACUCUGCCUGAAAGAUUAGUCCGAAGUUUACAGUUCAGAUGAACAAAAAUAACAAGCUGGAUUUCCCUUCCCUGCCAUCCCGUUCGUGUUGAUUAGUACCGGCAGCAUAUUUCAUAUGAUGCAUAGUAAUGCUCUUAUUUGGUUCCUCCAGUUUAUAAAUAAAAUAC